Pezoporus occidentalis (night parrot) is the source of this 1101-nucleotide long non-coding RNA. RefSeq lists it as uncharacterized. Lineage: Eukaryota; Metazoa; Chordata; Aves; Psittaciformes; Psittacidae. The record is from RefSeq and is a predicted model, not a curated record. The transcript is spliced from 3 exons.
CUCCCCAGGGCCGCCCUCUUUACCCUCAGGACGGGUCACCCCAGGCGGGUCCCCAACCGCCUCAGGGCCGUGUUUGUUCAGGGGGGGCCGGGGAGCCGCCGCCGUUGGCAGGGCUGACAUUUGCCAUGCGCAAACAACAUGCACUUUAGCAAACAAUUCAACCUUUCCGCAUCCCCGAAGCCUGCUGGAAACUUGCUGAGUUAUUUUUCUCCUCUCCUCUUUCUUAGCUUGUUUAUAACUGACGCUAUCUCGCCUGCACCGCUCCCUCAAUUUCAUUAUCUCUUCCUACCAGAUGGCCCGUAUCUCUCCCUCCUUCACAGGGUUUCUCCUUGCGCUUGCUUCAGCUUUUUCCCACCCUCUUCCCAGCUCUCCACUUCUUACCCCUGCUCACAGGUGAUGUUAACAUCCAAACCCUCGAUCCCCCCAUCUUCUCCUCAUCCUGACCCUCUUAGCCCCUGCUCUGGUGCUUGUCUGGUUUCUUCCUGCUGCAGCUCCUGCUUCCUUCAAUCCCAUUUGCUGUUUUCCGGAUGCAAGAUUGUGGAUCAUACCUCCCUUCAGAAUACAGCUGUUGGGCAGUGGCUGGUAUGUGUACAACACUUUCAUUUACUGGUUCGAAGGACAGUGAAAUGGGUCUGAAGGAGACAUCUGACUUGUUAAUACUCUUCCUUAGUAAGCUUCAGAUUGUGAUGCCGAGACUGUUCAGAAUCCUUGCUCCCCCAAGGAAGCUCCCACUACAUUUGUUACUUGUAGACUCCCAUCCUGCUCCUCCUCUUGAUCUUUUGGGUGAAAGAGUCCCUCUACACUAACCAGCCCAGUCAUUUUCUGUCAUUACCAAGUUCUGUGGAAACAUACAGUGUGUAUGCAGGAGAGAGAACACUCCUGUUAGCUCUGCACAGGCUGGGAAAGACCUAGUGCUGCCUCCUGAAGUUUUAAUUGAGUGUUAUACUCUGGACAUUUUUCUUUCACUUUGCUUUUAUCAUGAAGAUUUUUCUCCACUGAAUUCAAGAAGCAGGUUAAAUAUAUGUAAGCAGUAAUCAAGAAAUGCCUGUGAUGCUUGUAUUUAUUUCAAGUAUGAAUAAAAUUUGUCUUAGAGGGCAAGAA